GAACAAGUCUGUGCAGUCAGUGAAGUCUGCAGAGUAACUCAGCUCCAAAUUAGAAACCUAAGGCUGAGUUCCCCAAACUGGGUGCAUUCAUUGUGCCUGCAUACCUGAAAUGUCUACCCUGGGGCAGCAGGCAUGACCUGGACCUACAGGAGAUGUAUGCAUUUCUGGAGAGGCAUCUGUAGGCAAGAUGGGAUGCCCUAAGGAGGACUGGAUUGCACUCCACAUCUGCAUUUAGGUACGUCCAGAGGUGGGUCAUCAGAAUCAGUUGCCAGGACUGAUUGUAUUGACUGGGUCUUCUCUGACUACCACGGGAGCUCAGACAGCUCGCAUGCAGACACCUACAAGCACACACGUAGGUUUCUUAAUAUAGAGUUGGCCACCAUUCCCAGUAUGUGAUCGUGGAGUGGAGCAUGACCCUAGGGGAUGGAUGAAGGCUUCAGAUCCACUAGCAGAUCCACUCACAACAGCCAUGCCACUGAAGUCCCAAGAAUGGUGCACCUCAGCUAAAAUUACCAGGAUGUGCUACAGAAAGAAAGAAAAUAUUCCCCUAUUCCUGCCCGUAACAUGUCACACACACACCAGUAUCUAAAAUCUCCCCUUCCUUCCUGAUGAGGUCAGGAAAGUUUUGCUUCGUGCCCUUCAUGCCAUAAAUACAAGAGAUGACAGACGAAUGAGGGUACAACAUGCACCGGGAAGCGGGUAGGGGUGAAAAAGGACGUGAGUAACCAAAAAACACUGAUGUAGCAGCUCCGAUUAGACACGUCUUUGUCAGUGGGGGUCGGGGGGGAGGGUCAGUUGUUGGUGGCUCAUUCUUUCUUUCCUCUCCUAAGUGCGAGAUGUCGGUGGCGAGGCAGCUGGUGCUCCGUGACAGCUGCUUGUCACGCUGUUCAUAAUUGCCCCAUUGAUACCUUGCACUGCCUCUGGCUGUUUGUUGCACCCACCUGUUGUCUUUGGGCUGAGCUCCUCAUCUCAGCAUUACCGGGGCUGCUGCUUUCCUGCGUGCCUCCUCCAACCCCGCCACGGGCCCCUGUGUGCUACCACAAGGGAGUGAAGGAAGUUACAGCUGCAGUAGUACUGGGGGUGGCCAGAAGAUACCUGACCAAUGCACUGCUUUGAAGCACAUUAACUGGGAGCAACCAAAAGAAAAGUAAGAACAUCUAAUCUUAGGGUCUAUGUCCACCCCCUUCUCACCCCCUUCAGACCUCGUCAUUGGUAUUGGAUGGCUUUAUUUCCACUGGCAGCAAGGCUCAAAGUGUGAGGAAAGACAAGACUGCAAGUAGCCUGUCACUAUUUUAAGUCUUUCACAAUCAUACAGCUUAAAAAAGUGGCCAUUGACGUAUUCUGGAGUUCCAUCACAUGGCUGGAAGCCCCACAAAAUUCUAGUUUUUCUAGAUGUUUGGGAUUUCAAAUUUUGUUUCAAAUCAGAAUAACGGUGCUCUCUACCUCCAGAAAGCCAUGGAGAAAAUUAAUUACAGCUCAAUGAAACAUGAUUCAGCUUUUCAAAUUUUGUAUUAUUUUGUAAUAUAUAAUAUAAAAUGAAAUAUUUUGAAACCAAAACUCAUUUUGAAAGAAGAAA
This 1576-nucleotide long non-coding RNA is filed under the name Anas zonorhyncha (Eastern spot-billed duck). Its description in RNAcentral is "lncRNA (ENSAZOG00000002926.1)". Lineage: Eukaryota; Metazoa; Chordata; Aves; Anseriformes; Anatidae. The record is from RNAcentral.